Long non-coding RNA from Strigops habroptila (Kakapo), 1715 nucleotides. NCBI's taxonomy places the organism in Eukaryota, Metazoa, Chordata, Aves, Psittaciformes, Psittacidae. The record is from Ensembl.
UUUUUUUUUUUUUUGCGCUGUUCUGUUCAUGUAGCACAAAUAAGCAUUGCACUUGGUACCAUGCUUUACCUCAUUUCAAGGAAAAAAUGCUUAACAGAGAGGAAAAAUGUGGUUUGGCCUUGCUGCUGUUGUGAUUUACUGAAUUUGAAAAAGAUAAUUAUAAUGCCUGCAAUGUGUCAUUUACUUGCACAACUGAGAUAGGUCAUUUGUAAUGUCUGUGGCAUUUUUACUGUAUGUGGAAAAAAUACAACAAAGAUGUGUAACAACUCUUGAUUGUAUUUUAAAGCUAUUGUCUUUCUACUACAUCAUUUUACUGUUAUGUGAAGUAAUUAAAAUUAGAAUGACCUCUGACACUCCAGUAAUUAUCUCUGAACAAACCAACAUAUUAUGAAUAUAAUGUAGUUUUUGCGAGUAGACAGCCCGUAGUAAUUUGGUCAGCCUGAACUAAAUCUCUGCUCAGUCUGAAUAUUGAGUGCCCAGUAGCGACUUCUGAAGUGUUUGUUCAGCUUGAUGCUGCUAAAGUCCAUACAGAAAAAAAGCCUACUAUCUUUAAGUCUCAUUACACAAUAUUAUGUUGUGACUGCAGAGUACAGAACUUGAACAAGAACCAGUUUCCAUGCUGGGGAGGAAUAUAGUGGUGGCCCAGGGAUAAGGUGCCAGAUCCUCAGCUAGUGCAAAUUGAUGUGGUAUCAUUUUAAUCAAUGGAACUGCAUUCUUUUACAUAUCUGAAGAUCUUGUGUUUGUAUGUAUGUUGCAGAAUUUGGGUUUUUCUCCUUGUAAGGAAAUAGAGAACCAUAAACUGGAAAUGAUGGGUUUUUAUGUUACUGCAUAUGACAUAGCUACGCUACAUGCAUUCAUCUGUAUAGAAGGUGAAAUCUUUGUAUCCCAGUCACAGCAGCACACGUAAUCUGAAAAUGAGGAGUAGCAUUAUGGUCUGCUGUGAUACUGCACUUGCCUCUCUGUGACAGUAUUCUGGGUUUGUAUGUUUUGAGUGGGGAUCUCUACAAAAACAGUCUCAUGGAAAUAUCUGUAUUUAUUACAUGAGUGAAGCAAGAAGGGUUUUAAUUUUUGGUACUUACUGACAUUGGUCCUUUUCCAAUUGCUCUAAUUUUCAAGAAGUUAAUUUCUUUACGUUCAUAUUGGGUUUAAAACUUAAAACACUACAGUUCGUGACCAUGAAAUGUAAUCUAAAUAUCAACUGCAACUCCAUCUCAGUUCUGUUAGCAAAUAUCUAGAGGUCGUAGUAUACUCCACUAGCAGUUAAAAUUAACUUCUGUCAAAGCUGACUACAUUUUUAAGAAAUAAAUUUUAUCCAAUAAAGCCCUUGGGUUUUUUUCCUCUUAUUUGAAUGGCAACCACAGACUACUUUGAUUGCUUUGUAGAUGCACUCAGAAUUUACUGCAGCAGCAAGUUGGAGAGAAAAAAUGUUUGUAAACAAGAAUUGGAAAUUGCAGGCAUUUUUAUUGUAAAUAGUUUGACUGAGAAGAUGGUUAAAAUCAAGUAGAAUGAAUAACAUAUAAUUUGAUGGACAAUAAAAUACUUACCAUCACAUGCUGCAGCUGUCUUUAAGGGACAUAAAAUGUAAUUCAUUCAUACUGUAAUCAUGCUGCAGAAGUUUGCAAUCUGCACCUUAUGGAUCACAAUUACCUUUAAUAGUUUUUUGUAAGAAUUGUAGCUGAGUAUAUCUCCAAUAAAGUUAUGGUCUGUUCACCUUG